This is a long non-coding RNA of Loxodonta africana (African savanna elephant), 9384 nucleotides long. RefSeq lists it as uncharacterized. NCBI's taxonomy places the organism in Eukaryota, Metazoa, Chordata, Mammalia, Proboscidea, Elephantidae. The record is from RefSeq and is a predicted model, not a curated record. The transcript is spliced from 4 exons.
GCAGCUGGCGGGAAGCGCCGGGACCUGGGGGGCAUGCCUGGACCUGGGGGAGGUGUCCUUGGCCUGGGAGAUGCAAAUGCCCUCUCCAGGAGCGGGAGCACAGGGCCGGAUAUGGGGACCACACCCCCACCUCCUCCGGUCUGGUCUCCAGGGCUGACCCCCCAGGCUCAUUGAUCCCUGACGUGAAGCAGCUGGGGAAAACGAGGCCCAGGGACACAUGCAAACAUCCACCUGUAACCACAGUGUGACCUUCCACCAGGGGCAGCUACAGCCCCAGCCGGGGAAUCGAGCCCAGGGAGGGACAGACUGUGCAGGUGCGACACCCCAUAAUAAGUCCUGCUAUGAGCCCCAGAGGCCUCUGGGACAGGAGCCAUCUUGGAAAGCUUCUGUGUGCACACCUUAGUGAACAUAUCCCCACCUAUGUCUAUGAAUAAACAUGAAUCUUUUCCCGCCCAAGAACUUUUAAAAACUCAGGCCGUCUUUUGUUCUGUGAGACGGGGGUAUGCGUUGCUCUAGGCCCUCCUUGUUUCCGCAUGCAAGCCUCUUCAAUAAAGCUUUGCUCGUGUGAAAAACUACAUGCCUUACCUGCUCAUUCUUGACCAGCAAGAGGCAAACCAGCUAGAGCCAGAUUUGGUGUGUGCACUAUCAAACAGUGACCUGAAGGUGAAUCCUACCUCCAUGUUUUCACCACAAGCUGCCAUUUUCUUGGGAACACACAGAUGUCAAGAGUACAGGAGGCGCCAUCUUGAGCCACCAGUUGUGCGGGCAGUUUCCACACCCAACCCACACCUCUUUUGAAUAUGCAUACCAUUUUGGUGGUAUAGUGGUUAAGUGCUAAGGCUGGUAACCAAGAGGUUGGCAGUUCGAAUCUGCCAGGCGCUCUCUGGAAACUCUAUGGAACAGUUCUACUCUGUCCUCUAGGGUAUCUAUGAGACUCGAUGGCAGUGGGUUUUUUUUUUUUUUGGUAUGACUUCCGCUUUGCUGAAUAGCAUAAAGCCUCCUCCUCCUCCUCCGGCCCUUUGUUCAGCGAGACAGUGCUUUGAGAACGAUCUCCCUGUCUCCUUGCUGGCUGCAAGCAAUAAGCUAUGCCUUGCAUGACUCUUAGUUAUUCUUAACAGGAGCACAGGCGGCGAACCCAUUGUGUUGCGUAACAAAUUCCUGGUGACUGAGUCACCAAUUAAACAUCCAGAAUCAACUACCUGAGCAGACCAAACUGUCCCUGGACAGAUGAAGUGGCCACCUGGACUCCUUUUGUUCAGCGCCCCUCAGGCUGGAGUGGAUGUAGACAUUUUCAUCUGACUUGAUUCGAAGAUUGAAAUCCCUCCGCCUGGAUCUGAAUAAGCCCAUGGACAUUGAUUGGUGGAAAGAAAUUCAGGUUGAAUUAGAACAUAAAGUAUAGAGAUUUUUGGAGAAAUCUGUAGAUUAGUCAAGGGAAAGAGAUGUCUGGGGAGAACUAAUAUAAUAGACUAGAGUGGGUUCAGUGACAAAGCCGGGAGGACGCUCCAGUCAGAGUAUUGGUUCCAGAGGAAAGUUCUCUUCCGGAGUUGGGAAAAUGCCUGGCUUCGACGCAAAUGCCAGAUAAAUCCCUGGUGGGCUAGGGAAAAAGAGUUAAUGGUUUCGGCCACCCAUAAGAGUAAGAAACGAGCUUCUUGGAAACAAUUAACUGAACAAAAUGGGAAACCAAAAAAGCCGAGAAAGCCUACCGGUGGACUCUCCCUUGGGAUGCAUUCUUAAGCAUUGGAAGUAUUUCUCUCAUGGUCAACUAAAAAAGAACAAGCUUAUCUGUUUUUGUAACACUACCUGGCCUCAGUAUACCCUUGCUGACCAGGAGAAGUGGCCCGUGCACGGGACUCUUAAUUUUAACACUCUUUUACAGCUAGAUUUGUUUUGCAAAAGAGAAGAAAAAUGGGAUGAGAUCCCCUACGUUCAAGCCUUUAUGGCUCUGUACGGGAACAAGAGGUUACAAGCCAAAUGCAAACUAACCUGUGUGGCCCUAGCCACCGAAGAGCAAUCAAAGAAGCCUCCAAGGGGAUCCGGGGAACCAGAUCUUUUGGAAGACCCCCUUCUUAACCAAGGCCCUGUUCUGGCCCCAGCAAUACCCCCACCUGAUCCUACAGAAUACCUCCCUCCCUCCUGUCUCCCUACUGUCUCUGAUCUGGCCCCCAAAACCCCAUCCAUCCCACCUUCCCUCACCCCAUAUCCGGAACCCACGGCAUCUCUUGUGCUCGGCCCUAAUGAGCUCCCUUCCACUCCUAUGGACCUCUGCCCUCGCAAUCUUUAUCCUUCCCCUGAAGAAUUUAGGAAGACCACAGGGGGAGUUUUGUGUGUGCAAGAGGCAGUGGAUGGACAGGGCGGGGUUGUCCAGGUGCAGGUCCCAUUUUCAGUUUCAGACUUAAGUAUUUGUAAAGAAAAGCUGGGCAACUUUUCAGAAAACCCAGAAAAAUUCAGAGAAGAGUUUGUCAAGCUCAGUCUUAACUUCACUCUCAGCUGGCAGGAUGUGAUAGUAAUUUUAACUACCUGUUGUACUUCUGACGAGAAAAAUAGGAUACUUGCAAAGGCAAGACAGCAUGCUGACAGCUUUAGCCCCAUUAACCCCAGGCACGAUAUUUUGAGACUAGGGAAUGAGGCAGUUCCCCGGACAGACCCUCAGUGGAAUUACCAGGACCAACUAGAUCAGGAAAGAAUGAAAUAUUUUAUAACCUGUGUGGUUGAAGGAAUGCAGAAGUGCAUUUACAAGCCAGUUAACUAUUCAAAAAUCGGAGAAGUAACUCAAGGAAAGGAUGAAAACCCAGAUGCCUUCUUGAGUAGGCUGACAGAGAACUUUAAGAAGUUUACCAACAAAGACCCAGAGGCACCAGAGACUGCCCUUCUGCUGGGUUAUCACUUUAUAACUCAGAGCGCCCCAGAUAUUAGGAGGAAGCUCCAAAAACUGAAGGGUGGACCCCAGACCCCAUUGUCCGAGCUAGUAGAGGAAGCCUUUAAGGUGUUCAACAACAGAGAAAAGGCAGAAGAAGAAGAGAGAGACAAGAGUCUAGACAGAAGAGCCCAGUUGUUGGCUGCAGUUAUCCAGGGACCAUGUCAAGGUAACCUCCGAAGACCUGGGCCAUUGCAGGUAAGGGGCCAACGAGACAGGCCUUGGAGCCGCCCUUCAGGGCUUCCAGCAAAGCUGGGGCCCCAACAGUGUGCAUAUUGCAAGAGAGAGGGACACUGGAAACGGGAGUGUCCAUGCCGUCCUCAGCCAGGACGGCAUGGUCACUGCCCCAACGGUAACCCCAAACUGCAGAUGCCAGAACUCUCCAAGUGCCAAGGCCCAGAGGACCGCCUGGUUCCCUCUGAACAGCAACAAGCGAUCUCCGUCCCCCCUGCGGAACCUGAGGUUACCUUCAAAGUGGCAGGUAGGACAACGGAAUUUUUACUUGAUAUGAGAGCUGCCUACUCGGUCUUGAACAAACCUAUUGGCAAACUCUCCAGCCAUGACUGUGUGAUAACGGGAGUCUCAGGACGGCCCCAGGCUAAGAGGUUUACCUUCCCUUUAUCCUGUGAGGUAGGUACACGUACUCUAUCUCACUCUUGCCUGUCUAUACCUGAGCAUCCAGUUCCUUUGCUCUGUAGUGACCUAUUGACCAAAAUAGGGGGUGCUGUUCUCCUCUCUGGGGAUCAAGUUACUGUAGAAAUGGACAAAAGUCAAGGAGCAAGACUUCCAGCACUCCUUGAGACAGGGAAUUCUGCACAGAAGGUGCCUGAUAUCCCUCAACAUAUACUAAAAGAAGUAAAUCCUUUGGUUUGGGAUGUGAACAGACCAGGGAGAGCCAACAGCGCGGAUCCUGUCCGGGUUGAACUGAAACCUGGAGUUGCUCUCCCUUGGCGCAAACAACACCCACUUAAGCCAAAGGCUAUAGCUGGGAUUAAGCCAGUAUUAAAAAAGCUUCUCAGACAAGGGCUUAUUGAACCUUGUCAGUCCCCCUGCAACACGCCCAUCUUACCUGUUAGAAAGCCUAAUGGAGAAUAUCGCUUCAUGCAGAAUCUAAGCGCAGUAAAUGAAGCUGUAGUAACAAUUCCCGCGCUGGUCCCCAACCCAUAUACUCUGCUUACCCAGGUACCUGCUACUGCCACCUACUUUACUGUGUUACAUCUAAAGGAUGCUUUCUUUUGUGUACCCCUGCACCCCGAUUCCCAAGAGUUAUUUGCUUUUGAAUGGGAAGAUCCAGACACCAGGGAGAGAACUCAGUUUAAAUGGACAGUCCUUCCUCAAGGUUUCAAAAACUCUUCUCACCUUUUUUGUUCAGUUUUGGCUAAAGACCUCAGAGAUUUAAAGCUGGAAGAGGGGAUAUUACUCCAGUAUAUAGAUGACUUAUUAAUAGCCAGUAAAGACCAAAACAGUUCGGACAAGAAUGCCAUUAAGGCCCUGAAUCAUUUGGCAAACCGAGGCUACAGGGUUUCCCGUGUCCAAAUCACACAGAAAAAAGUGAAAUAUUUAGGGUUCCAGCUCUCUUCAGGCAUUCGACAACUGCUGCCUGAAAGAAUAUUAGCCAUAACUUCCUUCCCAGCCCCAACCACGCGAAAGCAAUUACGACGAUUUUUGGGCAUGGCUGAAUUUUGUAGAAUCUGGAUACCCAACUUUGGGCUAAUAGCAAGACCCUUAUAUGAGUCUCUAAAAGGGAAAGAGAGCCAACACUUAGAAUGGACUCAGGAGUGCGAAAAAGCGUUUGAAACCAUCAAGCUAGAAUUACAUAGAGCUUCCGCGUUGGGUCUCCCAGACUUAACAAAACCUUUUAGGUUGUGUGUUCAUGAAAGAGAAAGACAGGCCCUAGGAGUACUCACCCAACAAAUUGGCCCUCUCACUAGACCAGUUGCCUAUUACUCUAAACAACUAGACCCAGUGGCACGGGGCUGGCCAGCCUGUUUGCGGGCAGUCGCUGCCACUGUGAUCCUGAUUAAAGAGGCAUCCAAGUUUACUUUGGGACAACCUAUGGAGGUGCUGACACCCCAUCAGGUUCAGACUGUUUUAGAAGUUAAAGGAGGGAAUUGGCUUUCGGGAAGGAGAAUAACCCAAUACCAGGCCAUAUUAUUAAAUUCCCCCGAAGUGACUCUAAAGGUUUGUCAGGCUUUAAAUCCUGAUACUCUCCUGCCUGCUACAACCUCAGAAGAUAAUGAGCUGACCCAUAACUGUAUUGAAACAAUAGACCAAGUUUAUUCCAGCAGGUCCGGAUCUGAAAGACAAUCCCUUAGAAAGUACAGAUGAAGACUGAUUCACUCAUGGGAGCGGUUUUGUGGAACAAGGUAUCCACAGAGUGGGAUACGCCAUAGUAAGUUUACAUGACAUUAUAGACGCCCAGCCUUUACCUCCUCAAACCUCUGCACAAAAAGCCAAGCUUAUUGCCUUCACUUGAGCAUCGCGAUUGGUGAAAGACAAGAAAAUUAACGUAUAUACAAACUGCAAAUAUUCCUCCAACAUACAUGCUCAUGGGGCUAUUUGGAAAGAAAGUGGCCUCUUAACUCCAAGAACGCACUCAUUAAGUACGGUAGCCUUAUUUUAGAACUUCUAGAGGCAGCGCAGUAACCCACUGAAGUGGCUGUUAUACAUUGUAAGGGAUGUCGGAAAGAGAACACUCCAGUUUCUUGGGGUAACAAUGAAGCCAACACUGUUGCUAAGAAAGAAGCUUGGGUACAGCCCCCCAGUGACCCAGAUGGCCCUUAUUCCUGACAUCAGCCUGUCAACUGUUAAACCCCAGUAUAUAUAGCCCAAGGGAUAUUCAGGAUGCAGGAAUUCAGGGAUUUGGGAAACAGACCAAUGGUUGGUAUUAGAAUGCAAAUAAAAGGGUUUAUAUUCCCAGCUGUCAACUCUGGAAGGAGGUUAAGGCAACCCAUGAGGCCAGCCAUUAGGGUCAGGAGAUUUUGCAUCUUCAGCUUAAGACCUUAAUACAGGGAAGAAACUUAAAGUGAUACAGCACGUUUCUAAAAGUUGGUGAGUAUUUGGGUUGCGUUAAAAAACAACCCAAACACUCACCCAACACCUCCUCCCUUAGUAAAACCUGUUCAACAUCGGGGAACAUACCCAGGGGAGGAUUGGCAAGUAGGUUUUACAAUAAUGCCCCCAUGCCGAGGGUUCAGGUAUCUAUUGGUCUUCCUAGAUACCUUUGCAGGAUGGGUAGAAGCCUUCCCUGCUAAGACUGAGAAAGCCACUGAAUUACGUAAAUGGCCUCUAAAAGAAAUCAUUCCCAGACCCAGCUUGCCCCUGUCCCUCCAGAUGGACAACAGCCCUGCAUUUACUGCCAAAAUAACUCAGAAUUUAUCCCAAACCUUAGACAUCAUGUAUAAGCUCCACUCAGCAUGGAGACCUCAGUCCUCAGGAAAGGUGGAGAGAAUGAACGAAACUUUGAAAAGAACUCUUGCAAAGCUAUGCCAAGGAACUCAAGAAAUCUGGGUUAAUAUGUUGCCCAUCGCUUUAAUCAGGAUAUGGGCCACCCCCAGAGGAACUCUAAAGUUAAGCCUGUUUGAAUUGAUUUAUGGAAGACCUUUUCUUAAGGCAGAUGAUCUUUCGGCUCAGGAGAUGUAACAAACAUUAAAAUAUAUCAUUAAUGUAGGAGAAGUGCAGAGAGUACUCCAAGAAUACGGCAACCAGAUACUCCCUGAACCUACAAAGGGUGACUUGCUCUAAUUCCAGCCAGGAGACUUGCUGCUUUUAAAGUCUUGGCAAGAAGAGAGCCCGGGAGACCAACUGGCUGAAAAAUGGGUAGGCCCGUAUCAGGUAUUAUUAACAACUCCUUCUGCUCUCAGGUUAAAAGGAGUCACUCCGUAGGUCCAUCAUUCUCAAGUACCUUUCUUGCCACCUGAAAACCCUGAAGAACCGCCUGUGAAUCAAGAGUCCUAUACCUGUGAACCAGUUGAAGGACUUAAGUGGCUGUUCAAAAGAUGGAAUGAGGACCGGUAGAGAAGUAUCAUGAGAAUAAGUGUUGUAGAAAUAUUAGGAGUUAUUUUUGUCUUGACCCUUUUAUUAGUUUUUAUUUUAACCCUUGCCUGUGUUGUUCCCCAUUUUGGACAAGCCUUAUGCAUUCUAGUGUAUGCUUUAAUGAGCCGGUGCUGAGUCAUUUCAAGUGUAAGUAAACCUAACAUCAACUGCAAUUAUGACUAUCUUAAUUUAGUUUUAAUUUCCAACCUUGUUCCAUUAACCCAUCCAGCUUUAACAUUAAGUAAUACCAACUAUUUAGUCAGUGCUUCCCAAACGGUUGCCUUGGGGAACAGUUUAACACAUUGUUGGAUCUGUUACCAAACUCCAGCAACAACUGAACAAGGAACCCACCUGCCCUGGUUGUUGGCCACACCCCUGGAUAAUGAGACUUUAACCUCCACAGUUAAAGCCUUUGGAGCCCAGCAUCCACUACCCAUAGCCCCUUUUCAAGUGUCCCCUUUGCCUGUUGAAGGGGGCCAAAACUCUUGUUUUUACACUUGGCAUCUACUAAUGUGGAAUAAUUUUAUUCCCCAACUAUCCACACCUAGAGUGUCCUGGACGUGCAUGUCAGAGACAGCUGCAAUGUCCAGUAGUCUCCAAGUAUUUAACCCCAGCUCAACGUGCGCCAGAGACAUUGCAAAUAAUCAUAUUUCCUUCGAAAAGGCAGUAAGCAACCUUAGAGAAAAAAAAAAGAUACCCUUUAGGAACCUACCCUGGCUGUAAACCCUCAGUAACACUAUCCAUGAUCCAUGAGUCAUGGUUAAAACCAGUGUUUACUCACCGCAGUUUGUCUAACCUUACCGCAAACAUUACAUACAUCUGCCUUCCAAAACGCCUAAAGUUCCUUUGUGGCAACACUGCCUUGACCUGUAUAAACCCUCUAACAGAAGAUGGAAUCUGUACCAUAGGCUUUGUAUACCCAAACCCUGAACUAACAAGUGUUUCAAGCCCCCAAACGAACUAAGUGAGGAAUUGGGCUCAUUAUAGCAGGAGUAGUAGCCCUUGUAGGGACAAUAACAGCAACUUCAGCAGGAUUUAUUUACCAAAGUUCAGUCAUCUCCGAUAUCACUGAGUCAGUGAAACCAUCGCUCAAGACUCAGGGGAAGGCAUUUGAGCCUUCAACCUUGCCCUCAAUUCCCUUGUUAGACUGGUAUUAGACCACUGAAUUGCCUUUGACUUUCCACUCGCUGAACAAGGUGGAGUAUGUGCCGUAGCCAACACGAGCUGUUGUACAUAUGUAAAUGCUACAGGCCAGAUAGAAAUUACAGCAAAAAAUCUGCUUAAUGCAGCCUUGUGGCUCCACCGGUUCAGCCAGGAUCAAACUAAUUCAAAAAUUUGGGAAACUAUCAGAACCCGUCUGUCACUAACCCGGUUCUUGCCAUCACUUGGUCCUCUAGUUGCCAUUUUGUUACUUCUUUUUGGUCUUUGUCUGUUUAACUUAUUAGUCACAUUUGUAUCCUCCAGGAUUCAAAAGUUCCAGCUCCAAAUGGUGGUUGCUAAGGGAUUUCAACCCAUCCCCCACCAAGAAGAAAAACAGCAGCCUGGUCAAGGGCCAGUGUGGAUACAGGAAAGAUAUGACAGUUUAGCUCAGGCAGCAAGAGAAUUCCACUCCUCUAACCUGUAGGCCUCUACGUCCCAUGUCAGCAGGAAGCAGCUCCAGAAGAAGAGACCUCCAUCCUUAAACCCCUCAAGAAUGAGGAGUGUGAAUUUCUCAGGGUUGGGGCAGGGCGGGGCGGGGGGGACUGAGACUAGCUAGGAAAUAGGCCCUGAGCCGAAAGCUGCGGCAGUGAAAGAUUUUACAAAGCAACUAUAAGCAUAUUGCAGUUAAGAUCAAGAAACACCCCACCCCAUUUCCUUUUAAUUUUCCUGCUUACAGUUAUUUUUCAGGCAAACUGGCUACAGCCAGUGCACGUGCUAUGAAACAGUAACCUGAAGGUGAAUCUGACCACCAUGUUUUCAGUAUACGCUGCCAUUUUCUUGGGGACACACAGAUGUCAAGAGUACACAAGGAGCCAUCUAAAGAGAACACAGGCCACCAUCUUGAGCCAUCAGUUGCGCCGGCAGCCUACACGCCCACCGCACACCCCUUUGGACUAGACAUGCCAUUUCCCAGAAAUUUAAUGAAUGUGUAUGAUUUCCCCUUUCCUGCAUCGCAUAAAACCUCCUCCACCCCUUUUUUCAGAGAGACAAUGCUUUGAGAACGAUCUUCCUGUCUCCUUGCUGGCUGCAAGCAAUAAACUGCCUUGCUUUAAAUCCACAUGACCCUUAGUUAUUCUUAAGAGCACAGGCGGUGAACCUAUCAUGUUCAGUAACACUACCUUGCAGCCCAAGUCACUCACCAGCAUGGAGUGCAGCAUGGGGACUCGGUGGGGCCACAAGCAGGGUGGGCUCGCGUGAUGACAGCACAGCAGGGCAGGCAGGGUGGGGCCCACAGA